UUGGAGGGCAAGUCUGGUGCCAGCAGCCGCGGUAAUUCCAGCUCCAAUAGCGUAUAUUAAAGUUGCUGCAGUUAAAAAGCUCGUAGUUGAAUUUCGGGACCAUCAUGUCGGUCGUGCCUCGGUACGUACUGGCAUUGUUGGUUUCUCCCUUCUGACGAACCACGAUGUCAUUUAUUUGGUGUUGUGGGGAAUCAGGACUGUUACUUUGAAAAAAUUAGAGUGUUUAAAGCAGGCUCACGCUUGAAUACAUUAGCAUGGAAUAAUGAAAUAGGACGUUUGAUUCUAUUUUGUUGGUUUCUAGGAUCGACGUAAUGAUUAAUAGGGAUAGUUGGGGGCAUUAGUAUUCAAUUGUCAGAGGUGAAAUUCUUGGAUUUAUUGAAGACUAACUACUGCGAAAGCAUUUGCCAAGGAUGUUUUCAUUAAUCAAGAACGAAAGUUAGGGGAUCGAAGACGAUCAGAUACCGUCGUAGUCUUANCCAUAAACUAUGCCGACNAGGGAUCCGAUGAUGUUAAUUUUUUAAUGACUCAUUCGGCGCCUUACGGGAAAC
RNAcentral lists this ribosomal RNA (548 nucleotides) under uncultured Glomeromycotina. RNAcentral's name for it is "SSU rRNA". It matches the Rfam family "Eukaryotic small subunit ribosomal RNA", at positions 548 to 1098 of the family's 1831-position model. The record is from RNAcentral. Lineage: Eukaryota; Fungi; Glomeromycota.